This 1343-nucleotide ribosomal RNA is filed under the name uncultured bacterium. Its description in RNAcentral is "16S ribosomal RNA". It matches the Rfam family "Bacterial small subunit ribosomal RNA", at positions 28 to 1378 of the family's 1533-position model. The record is from RNAcentral.
GACGAACGCUGGCGGCGUGCUUAACACAUGCAAGUCGAACGGAAAGGCCCUGCUUUUGUGGGGUGCUCGAGUGGCGAACGGGUGAGUAACACGUGAGUAACCUGCCCUUGACUUUGGGAUAACUUCAGGAAACUGGGGCUAAUACCGGAUAGGAGCUCCUGCUGCAUGGUGGGGGUUGGAAAGUUUCGGCGGUUGGGGAUGGGCUCGCGGCUUAUCAGCUUGUUGGUGGGGUAGUGGCUUACCAAGGCUUUGACGGGUAGCCGGCCUGAGAGGGUGACCGGCCACAUUGGGACUGAGAUACGGCCCAGACUCCUACGGGAGGCAGCAGUGGGGAAUAUUGCACAAUGGGCGGAAGCCUGAUGCAGCAACGCCGCGUGCGGGAUGACGGCCUUCGGGUUGUAAACCGCUUUCGCCUGUGACGAAGCGUGAGUGACGGUAAUGGGUAAAGAAGCACCGGCUAACUACGUGCCAGCGGCCGCGGUGAUACGUAGGGUGCGAGCGUUGUCCGGAUUUAUUGGGCGUAAAGGGCUCGUAGGUGGUUGAUCGCGUCGGAAGUGUAAUCUUGGGGCUUAACCCUGAGCGUGCUUUCGAUACGGGUUGACUUGAGGAAGGUAGGGGAGAAUGGAAUUCCUGGUGGAGCGGUGGAAUGCGCAGAUAUCAGGAGGAACACCAGUGGCGAAGGCGGUUCUCUGGGCCUUUCCUGACGCUGAGGAGCGAAAGCGUGGGGAGCGAACAGGCUUAGAUUCCCUGGUAGUCCACGCUGUAAACGGUGGGUACUAGGUGUGGGGUCCAUUCCACGGGUUCCGUGCCGUAGCUAACGCUUUAAGUACCCCGCCUGGGGAGUACGGCCGCAAGGCUAAAACUCAAAGGAAUUGACGGGGCCCCGCACAAGCGGCGGAGCAUGCGGAUUAAUUCGAUGCAACGCGUAGAACCUUACCUGGGUUUGACAUGGAUCGGGAGUGCUCAGAGAUGGGUGUGCCUCUUUUGGGGUCGGUUCACAGGUGGUGCAUGGCUGUCGUCAGCUCGUGUCGUGAGAUGUUGGGUUAAGUCCCGCAACGAGCGCAACCCUUGUUCACUGUUGCCAGCACGUUAUGGUGGGGACUCAGUGGAGACCGCCGGGGUCAACUCGGAGGAAGGUGGGGAUGACGUCAAGUCAUCAUGCCCCUUAUGUCCAGGGCUCCACGCAUGCUACAAUGGCUGGUACAGAGAGUGGCGAGCCUGUGAGGGUGAGCGAAUCUCGGAAAGUCGGUCUCAGUUCGGAUUGGGGUCUGCAACUCGACCUCAUGAAGUCGGAGUCGCUAGUAAUCGCAGAUCAGCAACGCUGCGGUGAAUACGUUCCCGGG